GACGAACGCUGGCGGCGUGCCUAAUACAUGCAAGUCGAACGCAGUGGGGACGGGUGAGUAACACGUGGGUAACCUCCCAUCAGAGGGGAUAACACUUGGAAACAGGUGCUAAACCGAUACUGAUGGAUGGACCCGCGGUUCAUUAGCUAGUUGGUGAGGUAACUGCUCACAAAGGCCACGAUGCAUAGCCGACCUGGAAGGGUGAUCUGCAACAAUGGGACUGGGACACGGCACAGACGCCUACGGGAGGCUGCAGUAGGGAAUAUUCGGCAAGAGACGAAAGUCUGACCGAGCAACGCCGCGUGAGUGAAGAAGGUUUUCGGAUCGUAAAACUCUGUUGUUAGAGAAGCGGUAUCUAACCAGAAAGCCACGGCUAAGUAGGGGCCAGCCGCCGCGGUAAUAC
RNAcentral lists this ribosomal RNA (403 nucleotides) under uncultured bacterium. Its description in RNAcentral is "partial 16S ribosomal RNA". It matches the Rfam family "Bacterial small subunit ribosomal RNA", at positions 28 to 526 of the family's 1533-position model. The record is from RNAcentral.